This 460-nucleotide ribosomal RNA is filed under the name uncultured bacterium. RNAcentral's name for it is "bacterial SSU rRNA". It matches the Rfam family "Bacterial small subunit ribosomal RNA", at positions 28 to 524 of the family's 1533-position model. The record is from RNAcentral.
GAUGAAUGCUGGCGGCGUGCCUAAUACAUGCAAGUCGAGCGGUAAGGCCCUUCGGGGUACACGAGCGGCGGACGGCUGAGUAACGCGUGGGAACAUGCCCCAAAGUGAGGGAUAACGCACCGAAAGGUGUGCUAAUACCGCAUAUGGUCUUCGGAUUAAAGGAUUUAUCCGCUUUGGGAGUGGCCCGCGUACGAUUAGAUUGUUGGUGAGGUAAACGGCUCACCAAGUCGACGAUCGUUAACUGGUCUGAGAGGAUGAUCAGUCAGACUGGAACUGAGACACGGUCCAGACUCCUACGGGAGGCAGCAGUAAGGAAUCUUCCACAAUGGGCGAAAGCCUGAUGGAGCAACGCCGCGUGCAGGAUGAAGGCCCUCGGGUCGUAAACUGCUUUAUGAGUGAAGAAUAUGACGGUAACUCAUGAAUAAGCACCGGCUAACUACGUGCCAGCAGCCGCGGUAAU